UACGUAGGCAGCGAGCGUUGUUCGGAUUUACUGGGCGUAAAGGGUGUGUAGGCGGUUCUUUAAGUUUGGUGUGAAAUCUCCCGGCUCAACCGGGAGGGUGCGCCGAAUACUGAGGGACUAGAGUGCGGGAGAGGAAAGUGGAAUUCCUGGUGUAGCGGUGAAAUGCGUAGAUAUCAGGAGGAACACCGGUGGUGUAGACGGCUUUCUGGACCGUAACUGACGCUGAGACACGAAAGCGUGGGUAGCAAACAGG
This 253-nucleotide ribosomal RNA is filed under the name uncultured bacterium. Its description in RNAcentral is "partial 16S ribosomal RNA". It matches the Rfam family "Bacterial small subunit ribosomal RNA", at positions 524 to 776 of the family's 1533-position model. The record is from RNAcentral.